GACGAACGCUGGCGGCGUGCUUAACACAUGCAAGUCGAACGGAAAGGCCCUGCUUUUGUGGGGUGCUCGAGUGGCGAACGGGUGAGUAACACGUGAGUAACCUGCCCUUGACUUUGGGAUAACUUCAGGAAACUGGGGCUAAUACCGGAUAGGAGCUCCUGCUGCAUGGUGGGGGUUGGAAAGUUUCGGCGGUUGGGGAUGGACUCGCGGCUUAUCAGCUUGUUGGUGGGGUAGUGGCUUACCAAGGCUUUGACGGGUAGCCGGCCUGAGAGGGUGACCGGCCACAUUGGGACUGAGAUACGGCCCAGACUCCUACGGGAGGCAGCAGUGGGGAAUAUUGCACAAUGGGCGGAAGCCUGAUGCAGCAACGCCGCGUGCGGGAUGACGGCCUUCGGGUUGUAAACCGCUUUCGCCUGUGACGAAGCGUGAGUGACGGUAAUGGGUAAAGAAGCACCGGCUAACUACGUGCCAGCAGCCGCGGUGAUACGUAGGGUGCGAGCGUUGUCCGGAUUUAUUGGACGUAAAGGGCUCGUANGUGGUUGAUCGCGUCUGAUGUGAAAGCCCCCGGGCUCAACCGGGGAGGGUCAUUGGAAACUGGUUGACUUGAGUGCAGAAGAGGAGAGUGGAAUUCCAUGUGUAGCGGUGAAAUGCGUAGAUAUAUGGAGGAACACCAGUGGCGAAGGCGACUCUCUGGUCUGUAACUGACGCUGAGGCUCGAAAGCGUGGGUAGCAAACAGGAUUAGAUACCCUGGUAGUCCACGCCGUAAACGAUGAGUGCUAAAUGUUGGAGGGUUUCCGCCCUUCAGUGCUGCAGUUAACGCAUUAAGCACUCCGCCUGGGGAGUACGACCGCAAGGUUGAAACUCAAAGGAAUUGACGGGGACCCGCACAAGCGGUGGAGCAUGUGGUUUAAUUCGAAGCAACGCGAAGAACCUUACCAAGUCUUGACAUCCUUUGACCACUCUAGAGAUAGAGCUUUCCCUUCGGGGACAAAGUGACAGGUGGUGCAUGGUUGUCGUCAGCUCGUGUCGUGAGAUGUUGGGUUAAGUCCCGCAACGAGCGCAACCCUUAUUACUAGUUGCCAGCAUUGAGUUGGGCACUCUAGUGAGACUGCCGGUGACAAACCGGAGGAAGGUGGGGAUGACGUCAAAUCAUCAUGCCCCUUAUGACUUGGGCUACACACGUGCUACAAUGGAUGGUACAACGAGCAGCGAACUCGCGAGGGUAAGCGAAUCUCUUAAAGCCAUUCUCAGUUCGGAUUGUAGGCUGCAACUCGCCUACAUGAAGCCGGAAUCGCUAGUAAUCGCGGAUCAGCACGCCGCGGUGAAUACGUUCCCGGGUCU
This 1342-nucleotide ribosomal RNA is filed under the name uncultured bacterium. RNAcentral describes it as "partial 16S ribosomal RNA". It matches the Rfam family "Bacterial small subunit ribosomal RNA", at positions 28 to 1381 of the family's 1533-position model. The record is from RNAcentral.